RNAcentral lists this ribosomal RNA (764 nucleotides) under Austrochloritis sp. NE3. RNAcentral's name for it is "partial large subunit ribosomal RNA". The record is from RNAcentral. Lineage: Eukaryota; Metazoa; Mollusca; Gastropoda; Stylommatophora; Camaenidae.
UUAAUUAAAUUUAUAUUUAUUAUAUUACACGAAGCUGAAGGAGCUAGUUUUUUAAUUUAUUAGAUAUAUAGGUGUUGCAUAACUUUAACGAUUUAAAAUUAGGAGUGAUAGGCUUAACACAUUCAGUGAUAACUUGAUUACUAGUAAAGGUAUUAGUACGUAAACACUUUGGAAAUGAUAAGGUUUUCAAAUAGAAUUAAUUAUGAUGAAAAGAAUAUAUAGGGUUUAAUCACUUAUGUAAUAAUAUAAUAUAAUUAUAUUUUAUAAAUUAUUUAAAAUAUUAGUGAAUGUUGAAAUUAUUAUGGGCAAAUAUAAUGUUAAUAUUAGUAGCAAUUAAAUAUUAUUAAUGAACUCGGCAAAAGUCCUUUAACUGUUUAUCAAAAACAUAGCCGUAUGUAUAAAUAUAAGGUGAUUUCUGCUCCAUGAAGUUUAAAUAGCCGCAGUACCCUGACUGUGCAAAGGUAGCGCAAUCAAUUGGCUUUUAAUUGAAGUCCUGUAUGAAGGAAAAUAUAAAGGGGCUACUUUAUCAAUAAUAAUUUAUGAAUUUACUCAUUAAGUGCAAAUACUUAUACUUAAACAAUAGACGAGAAGACCCUAGAAAUUUUAAGAAUUAGUCUUUUUGUUGGGGCAACAAAGUAGCAAAUAUAACCUACUAUUGAUACAUGAAAGAUAUAACUUGUAAGAUUAAAUUACUCUAGGGAUAACAGCAUAAUUAAUGACAGUUUGUGACCUCGAUGUUGGAUUAGGGAAUUAAUAUUUAGAAG